AAAACAUUUCGUCAUAAAACCUCUGGACCAAAUUCGAGCACUCAACUCCCUCUUCUUCCCUCAGCUUUCCCUGCGUGAAGCCAUUUCAUCGUCCGUCGCCGGUGGUACUUACAGAGUGAAGAUGAACCUCUCACUUCCUCCCACUCUCUCUCCUCCCUAAAACCCCUCUUAAACCCCCAAUUUCCAUUUUCCACAACCCUAACUCCAUAACCCUAAUUUCCACCCCUUCUCUCAAUUCCCCCCAAAUCCUACGCUUGUGAUGUAUUCCCGCCGCCUGUAGAUCUUGUUUUGCCGCCGGAAUGUAGAUCUUGUUUUGCCGCCGGAAUCGGUUAUGAAAGAAACGAGUACUUCACCGCCGCCUGUAGAUCCUGUUUUGCCGCCGGAAUGUGAGAUUUAUGCGGUGGUGGAGAGGAUGUGGAUUCCGUUAAGCCCGAGGAAGUGGCUGCAGCUGCCACCGCUGCUCCUACUGCCCCAGUUUCCUCGCCGCCGAUCCCUGAUGGGAAUUCGCCGGUUGUGGUGGAACAAACGAGGAGUUUGUUUUCGCCAAUGAGAAUUUACCAGAAACAAAGCAUGGGUUUAGAGACAUCGACAACUCCUUGGCUUAGGCUCUUGUCACAGUAUGCACAGAAUCAAACUUUACCUAUAUCAGUGCCCGUUUUCUCAGUUGGUUCAAACAGACAAUGUAAUCUCAUUUUGAGAGAUCAAACGGCGAGUGGGAUCCUUUGCCGGAUAAAAAAUACUAAGCGUGAAGGCUGCAUGAUUGAUGUUCUUGAAAGCACAGGAAGCAAGGGAUCUGUGUUUGUAAAUGGGAUGAGUGUGAAGAAGAACACCAGCCGUCUUUUGCAUUCUGGGGAUGAAGUAGUUUUCGGAGUGGCAGGAAGUCAUGCUUAUGUAUCCUUUAUUUGAUUUAUUUCUUCUAUUGUGUUUGUAGAUUUAUUGAAUUGCAUUUUAGGCAGUAAAAGGCGUGUCUUGAAUUCCUGAUUGAUGCAGUCUUCAUAUUCUUGCUUGUCGUUUGAGUUUUGUUUGAGAGAAGAGGACUCUCAGCAGCCCGGAGCAUGAACAUAGAAAUCAGAAGUGACUAUGAUCUUCUAGGAAGGAGCAUGAACAUAGAAACCAGUCAACAUGGUGCUGACCCGAAUCUUGGUUUACAAGGAGAAAAACCUUUGAUUGUGGCUUUAUCUUCUGGCAAUAUACAGAUUAUCAAAUGCUUGCUUAAAGCUGGAGCUGAUCCUAAUACUACUAAUUUUGUGAGUGAAAGAUAACACUCACACGCUUUUAAGAGUUUUGGCCUUAAACUCGUAUUCUUAUCUACCUUUCUCUGAGUGAAUAUGCGUGUGAGUAUUCAUCUGUUUCAUCUACAAUCUCCUCCUGUACGAUAUUCAUCAGGGAACCCAUUUUGGACUUAUUACUGUGUCUUCUAUUUCAGUAUGAUUAUACACCUAUUGAAAUUGCGGUUGUUGAAGGUAAUCUUGCAGUUGUAGACACCCUCUUUGAUGUUUCUGCUCGUAUUCCUCAUAUUCCGACCUGGAGCAUUCAUGGAAUUCACGAGUAUCUCAACUCCGAGGAAGAAAAAACUCAGGAGGAGAUUGUAGAUGAAACAGAUGAAUAUAUUGAUGUUCAUAAGAGAAUACGUGUUGCUGCAUAUUACAGCUGCUACCUUAGUUGCACGUGUUCCAUCAAUCCGGAGGUUGACUAGCCAAAAAGCUCUUGUCUAUACUCCGAGGACUGCGCCUUAUGCUAGUGAGGAAAUUGAUGUGGUUCGUGAGCAAUGGGCGAAGUUUUUUACCACCAAGUAUUUAUUAUUGACCUGAGGGCGCUUGAUCGUGUUGGUUUAGAUGUUAUAGAACAAUCUUUUAUGUUAAAAUGUAUGCGUACGUUGAAAUUGGAACGUAAAUAUAUUUAAAUGUAUCGGUAUGUGCACUUUUGGUUUUGGGAUAUAUACAAAACUCCAGUUGUUGUUUUUAUA
Molecule: RNA transcript, 1966 nt
Organism: Spinacia oleracea (spinach)
Lineage: Eukaryota; Viridiplantae; Streptophyta; Magnoliopsida; Caryophyllales; Amaranthaceae
Exons: 8
Source: RefSeq, a predicted model, not a curated record